AACAGGAAAAGCAGUGUGGUUUGUGGUUUGGUUUUGGGCCCUAUACAUUGGGAACCAGGAAGGUUCGGGAAACCUGAGGAAGAGUCUUCGUUCAACCAUUACCAAACAAUAAAAUAAACAAAAGGGUAUUGUUAAAAUUGAAGAGAAGAAGAAGACUCUGGUUCCUUCCUUCUUCUGUGUCUCUGAGAUCUUUCAACAACAACAAGAACAAAGAAGAAGAAGAUGGCUUCAGAGGAGGCUGAGAGAAAGCAAGAAGAGCAACAAGGAGCAUCAUACACGUAUUGGGUAAGGCAAGUUAAGGAGGGAGAUGCAGCUCCAUUACCUGUACCUCGCAAGUUAACUCCUGAUGACAUUAUCAAUGACUCCAACUCUCAGCCUCCCACCCUUGGCUCUCUUUGGAAUAAGGCUGGAACUUGGGAGGAGAAGAAUCUUCAUAAGUGGGCAUCUGAUAGAAUCAAGGAGUUACUUAUAUCUGUGGGGUCCUUGGAGUUCCCUGCUGGCAAGGCUGAAAUAUCAGAUGUAUCAAAAUGUGUAGGCGAUGCAUUCUUGGUGACUGUGCGAAACAAGAAACGUGUUGGCUACACAUAUGAGUUAACAUUGAAAGUGAAAGGGGAGUGGACAAUUAGAGAGGAGAAGAAGACAGUCAAGGGCCAUAUAGACAUAGCAGAGUUCUCGUUUGGUGAGCUGGAUGACUUACAGGUAUGUUUUUCUUAUCCAUUUGAAUGCUAAAGAGAGCCAUGUGUUGUAAGGACAAUACUAAUGGAAGUUGAACCUAAAUUCAAUUGGAUGAUGUUAUAUAAUGCUGUCUCUUGCUGUUCAAGUAUCAAAUACUGGGCUGAUUAGGCAGAUUUAAAGUGAAGUGCCUGUGGAUGCACAAAAGGGGAAAUGAACGUAAGACCAGUGGAUUGGAUAUUCAAGUCUACCACAUCAUAUGGAAGUGAGAUUGAGUGAAGAGAAGGAUCUUCUGCAUCAAGACAAGUUACGGAUUAGCCAGGAUUUGAAACUAUUUUUGCAGCCUGUUCGUGAAAAAAUGCUUCAGUUCGAACAGGAACUCAAAGAUAGAUAGAAAGGGCAGCGUCGUUUUUAUCUAUGACGAAAGCCAUGGUUUUUAUUACAGUUAUCAACUGUAACUGUAUUUUUUAAUCUCUGAUGGAACAACUAUUUUAUAAAUACGUGUAAUGGAGCAUAAGACUUCUAAAGCUGUGAAGCUUCCAAGCUUUUUCAGUAAUGAUUUUAUUUUAUGCUCAGGAAGUAAUGUUUUUAAUAAAAAGUUUACAUUAGUACUGCUAA
This is an RNA transcript of Quercus lobata, 1290 nucleotides long. It is a transcript of the gene named chaperone binding / ATPase activator, with no coding region annotated. The transcript is spliced from 6 exons. The record is from RefSeq and is a predicted model, not a curated record. NCBI's taxonomy places the organism in Eukaryota, Viridiplantae, Streptophyta, Magnoliopsida, Fagales, Fagaceae.